This 1394-nucleotide ribosomal RNA is filed under the name marine metagenome. RNAcentral's name for it is "bacterial LSU rRNA". It matches the Rfam family "Bacterial large subunit ribosomal RNA", at positions 1518 to 2925 of the family's 2925-position model. The record is from RNAcentral.
UUCGAGGCUUUGAGAGAUGGAGAAAACAUCUUGAGCUAAGGCGUGAGUACGAGCUGCUACGGCAGCGAAGUUGGUGAUGUCAUGCUUCCAAGAAAAGCCCUAUACUCGUUAAGACACAAAUGCCAGUACCCGAAACCGACACAGGUGGGGUGGUAGAGAAUACCGAGGGGCGCGAGAUAACUCUCUCUAAGGAACUCGGCAAAAUGGCCCCGUAACUUCGGGAGAAGGGGUGCCAGCGAGAGCUGGUCGCAGUGAAGAGGCGCAAGCGACUGUUUACCAAAAACACAGGUCUCCGCUAAGUCGCAAGACGAUGUAUGGGGGCUGACACCUGCCCAGUGCCGGAAGGUUAAGGAAGCUGGUUAGCUUUUAGUGAAGCUGGCGACUGAAGCCCCGGUGAACGGCGGCCGUAACUAUAACGGUCCUAAGGUAGCGAAAUUCCUUGUCGGGUAAGUUCCGACCCGCACGAAAGGUGUAACGAUUUGCGCGCUGUCUCGGAGAGAGGCUCGGCGAAAUAGAAUUGUCUGUGAAGAUGCGGACUACAUACACCCGGACAGAAAGACCCUAUGAAGCUUUACUGUAGUUUGAUAUUGUGCUCGGGCUCUGAAUGCGCAGAAUAGGUGGGAGACGUUGAAAUAGUGCUUGUGGGUACUAUUGAGUCAUCGGUGAGAUACCACUCUUUUAGAGCUAGAGUUCUAACGCUUACCCGUUAUCCGGGAAGCGGACAGUAUCUGAUGGGCAGUUUGACUGGGGCGGUCGCCUCCUAAAAGUAACGGAGGCGCACAAAGGUUCCCUCAGGCUGGUUGGAAAUCAGUCGUUGAGUGCAAAAGCAGAAUGGAGCUUGACUGUGAGACCUACAAGUCGAACAGGACGAAAGUCGGUUUUAGUGAUCCGACGGUUCUGCGUGGAAGGGCCGUCGCUCAACGGAUAAAAGUUACUCUAGGGAUAACAGGCUGAUCUCCCCCAAGAGUUCACAUCGACGGGGAGGUUUGGCACCUCGAUGUCGGCUCAUCGCAACCUGGGGCUGAAGUCGGUCCCAAGGGUUGGGCUGUUCGCCCAUUAAAGCGGUACGCGAGCUGGGUUCAGAACGUCGUGAGACAGUUCGGUCCAUAUCCGGUGUAUGCGCAGGAAUAUUGAGAGGAUUUCUCCCUAGUACGAGAGGACCGGGAGGAACGCACCUCUGGUGUGCCAGUUAUCGUGCCAACGGUAAACGCUGGGUAGCCAUGUGCGGAGUGGAUAACCGCUGAAAGCAUCUAAGUGGGAAGCCCACCUCAAGAUGAGUAUUGCCAUGGCUUAAGCCAGUAAGGUCACGGGAAGAACACCCGUUGAUAGGCUCUACGUGGAAGCUUGGUAACAAGUGCAGCGGAGGAGUACUAAUAGACCGAGGGCUUGACCAA